ACGAGACUACGACGUAGUAUUUUCCUUACAUACGACAAAUUUUCUAAACUGCUAGUACCAUGACAGUCCUGAAAUAUCAGAGGUCUUAUUCAAUCUAUAUAUAUAAAAAAAUUUUUUUUAUCAAUUUUCUAACACCAAAAUCUUAUUUUUUAUUUCUUAACAAAUAAAAUUAAUGAACCUGAUUAAAUACGUACAUCAGGAUUAGAAAGGUGCUAAUUAAGCACUCCGGAUUGCAAAAUAGUGAUACUUACCAACUCAGAUUUAUCCACCUGUGUUGUGUUGACAGACGAUAUAAAUAUCUAAUUCACAGUACAAACAACCAGAUCUGUCUAGCAUCAGUGGACAAGCUCUAUGGGACUAGUCAGUUGGGCUUCCGUCCACCGGAUCCCCCCAAUUUAAAAAAAAAAAUGUAUAUUUUAUUUCAGUUUUGAUAUUAAAUAUAUUCAUAUGUAGAUUAUAAUAGCUCACAAUCUAAUUAGUAACUGAAUUUUCUUUUCCUUUUUAUUUUAUUUGAGUUUAACUUCUUAUACAUAAUUAUAUAUUAUUAUUUUUUAAAUAAUUAGAGGUCCCGACAAAGUGAAUGUCCCAUUGAACUGUUUCAAAUAAUUGUUCAAAGCUCCAAAAUACAUUGCUAUUUCUAACUGCAAAUAUUACUAUAGAAAACAUCCACUUCAGCUCACUUAUAUUUUCCCUUCUAAAUAUAUAGAUACAUAUAUUAGGAGUUUUUCUACAUCGUAUGCAGAAAUAAUUAUUUUAAAUAUAAUAUUAUUUUAUUUUGAAAUAUAUUUGUGUUUUACAUUUUAACCUAAUUAUUUUUAUAUUUUAUUUUCACCGGUUUGAGAAAAUAAUUUAUAAACUUAAUAUAUGUAUUUUUUAUAUUUGAAAUUAAGGUAUACGAUAUAUUUAGAUAAAUAUUUAUUAAAUAAAAUAUAAAUAAUAUUUUAUUAUCUUAUAUAAUGUACUUGUAAUUUAAUUGAAGCUUAAUUAAAAUUAAAUUUCACUCGUAAAAUAUUAUAUUAUAAUAACUUUUAGAUUUUUGUAUGUUUUACUUAAAAUACAUUAAACUAGUAAAAAUUAAAUUAAUUUUUAAUUAAAUUAUUGAAAAAAAUAAUUUAAAUAAAAAUUUAAUCAUUAGCUCUUAACAAAAAUAUAUUUGAUUUGCAUUGUUUUAGUUUUGUAUUUGUUAACGUACAUCUACAAUUAACUUUAAUAAUAUACAUAUAUUUUUAUAGCAUAUGAUUUAUAUGUUUGUGAUGUACAAAUUAAUGUAUAACUUUUCUAUAUUUUUAUUUAGUUUAAUUUAUUAUUAAAGUGGUAUAUACAUAUUUAUUUACUUUAAUGAUGAUGUAUGAAUAAUUAGUAAUUAAUAUAUUUUAAAAUCAUAAAAUAUUUUUUUUCUCAAUUUAGUGGUGAUACAAGAAAUAUUUUCAUUACAACAUUUUAAAAAUCCUGUAAAAAUGAAUAUUUAUAAAAUAAAUUUGUACAUGUCACAAUUAAGUAAUUUCAUGUCAUAUUUUUCAAAAGUCAUGUCAUACUUUUAAAAGUCAUGUCAUUUUUUGAGUUGAGAAUGAAUAUAGUGAUGAAAUAUAAUCAAAUCAAUUCACAAAUAGUUUGUGGAUUGUUUGUUUUAGCUAAAUAAAUUAAACUGGUAAAACUAAAUUCGCUAAUUACCUUAAUGAAUUGAUAAAUUUAAAUAAAAUUUUAAUAAUUUAGCUAUCAUUUUUAUAUGAUUAGCACCGCUUUAGUUUAGUGUUUGUUAAGGCACACUUUCAAUUAAUUUAAUUAUAUACAUAUAUAUAUAUAUAUAUAUAUAUACAUUUAUAGAACAUAUUAUAUAUAUAUAUAUAAGUUGAUGUAGAAUUUUUUAUACCUGUAAUUAUAUUUUGGUUACUUUUUUAUUAAUGUGAAAUAUGAGUUAUUAGGUAUUAUCAUAUUUUAAAAAUCUUGCGAGAAAAUAUAUUUGUAUAAAGAAAAACUACUUUAAUGGAGAUAUAUGAGUCAUUACUAUCAUAUUAUUAUUUGAGAACACCCUUAAAUGAAAACGUUAUAAUUUGAUUGGCUUCCUAUUUCACAAUGGUGACGUGGCUUUUUGAUUGGCUCAAUGUUAAACCGUUUUUAAUUUUGCGUGAUUACCUUCUCUAAACUGUUUUCAAUUACCGCUUUAAAUCAAUCUCGGUUUCUCUUUAAUAUAUUCUCUGGUUACGUUAUGCUAAUCAAACCUCUCUCAGUUAGUAUCCUCUAGUCUCGGUUUGGUACCUAUAUUGAAUUGUUUCGAAUCAUAUAUUUUAAACCUUAUUGUACAUACAAAAAUAGUUGGUUACAAAACACUACAUACUAUGUGAAUCUACUGUGAAACAUAUAUCUAUCUUAUUAAAAAAAAUUGUGUUGGACUAACCUUUAUUUUGUAAGUUUUUAAAUUAAAUACAUUUUUCUACUUAAUAUUUAAACCUACAUUAGAUCACUAAUAUUCAUUUCUUUAUACUACUACCCUUGUUUCCAAACAAUAUAUUCAUUUCUUUAAACUACUAUGCAUGUUUCCAAACAACACUAUAAUUAAUUUUUUGUCCAAACAAUAUAAAAUAUUAUAUCUCAUCUUUUUAAUAAUUUCUAACAAUUUUUUUUCACAUUAUUUAGAUAUAUUAAAUAAUUUAAAAUUAAAAAAUUUAUAAAAACCGAAAAUAAAUAGGACAUAUUUUUACAGGUUUAAAUACUACUAAAACAUUUCAACUCAAGUAACGGAUUAUAUUAUUUAUAUUUCCUAAAAAAUGGUUAUAUCAUUUAUUUAAGUAACAUAAUAAUUCAAUAAUACCCAUUACAUAAAGUAUAUAUAAAUGUUAUACAUUGUACAAUAAAUAUAAUAACAAAAAUAAUAUUCAAAAUAUUUAAAAUAUAUGUUAUCUAAAGCAAAAUACUUAACACUAAUUGUUAAUAACAAAUUUAAACUGAUUAUAAUAUAAACCAAAUUAUUAACAAAAUAAAGUACAGAAAACAAUUAUAAUAAAAUUAACCAAACAAUAUAAAAAGGAGUAAUAUUAUCAAGACAUAUUUAUAGUUCUUAAUUAUUUUAUAUCAAUCAUUUUCUCUAUCAAUAUUUUGUAGAAACGUCAUAAUUUCACAAAAUUACAAAGUAAUGAACUUAAAAUUUUGGAUUAAAAGGUGAGAAAUUAUGAAAUUAUAAAAAUUUAAAUCAAAUUGGAUUAAAUAUUGGUCAUCCAUCUGUUCAAUUGGUUAGUCUCGAGUUUGUUGAUUUAUUUUAAAAUGUGGAUAUUUUUAAAAACCUAAAUCAAAUUAUCGGAUCACCAGAUUAACCGGUUUGACUGCGGGUUUGGUACGAAUUUAAAAUCACUGAUUUAAAUAUAUAACUUAAAAAUUAACAAAGUAUUUGUUAAGUUAUUAGUAAACAAAAUCAUCAUACAAUAUUCUGCGCUUGCAAAGCGCGGAUCAAGAUCUAGUGUUUAUAUUAAAUUUGAACAUAUAAACAGGUUUAUGAUUUUGGACAGUAUCCAUUUUAUGCUGUUUAGGGUGUAGGGUUUAGAGUUUGGGGUUUCGUGUUCCAUGCAAGCCGUAUAUUAUGUCGUCUAUAUAUUUUUUGGUUGACUGAUAACACGUAUAAUUUUAAAUUCUGUUUUGAUAUUGUUUCCAAAAAUCAGUCGAUUAAAUCUUUUAAAGAAGAAAAUUCAGCACAUACGGAAUGAUAUACACGAAUAUUCCUAUAAUGGAUUUGAAAUUCGUUAAAUUUAAUUUAAAAUUAUUAACUGAUUCUUUUCGAGUAAGUUUCACCUUCUUAAUCUUUCCAAUAUAAUGAAUUGGGGUUCUUUCCUAAUAUAGUACAUUUGUUUGUUACAAUCAAUCAAGAUCCUUUUUUUUUUUUUUUUUUUUUUAAUCAAGAUCCUUUUUCUAAUUGCUCUCUGUAUUUUAUUUCUAUUCAUUUGUAUACUAAUCAUUCAUAUCUAAUGCAUAUGAAUGCAUAUGAAUAAUUUUGAUCGUCUACGCUGAAUACCAAACAAGUGGAAAGGUAAUGGAUAAUAAAGUGAGUUAUUUGGUAUGUAUAUGUUUAAUAUUUAUAUGUUUGUUCUAUACUGAAUGAGAAACAUAUCAAAUAAUGCAGUGAGUACUCUUGCUGUUUACUAAAUUGACCUUUAACAUUGAUCUAAUUCCCACAAUUAUUAUGUAUUCUAUCAUUCUUGCACUAAUCAUUCCUUGCUAAAACAUAUUAAUCUUGAGUACGAUGGAUACGAAAUGAUUGAGGAGGCAAUGGAUAAUGAAGUUAAUACUCUGACUUUCUAAUUUAUUUCUGUUACUAUUUGGUCUAAUUCCCUUGGUUAUUGUUCAUUCUAUAAUUCAUGCACUAAGCAUUCCAUGCUAACACAGAUUAAUCUUGAGUACAAUGGAUACGAAACGAAUGAGAAGGAAUGGAUUAUGAAGUUAGUACUCCGCCCUUCUAAUUUAUUUUUCGUUAAUUAUUUGUUCUAAAUCCCUCAAUUAUUAUGUAUUCUAUCAUUCCUGGAUUACUCAUUCAUUGCUAACGCAGAUUAAGCUUGAUUACGAUGAAUACAAAACGAGUGAGAAGGCCAUAGAUAAUGAAGUUAGUUCUCUGACCUUCUAAUUUAUUUCCGUUAAUAUUAUAUCUAUCACAUCAUUCUAUCAAUUGUCAUAUUAUACAUAUUUAAAUUAACAUAUUUUAUUAUCCACAGAUUUGUAUAAUAAUAUUUGUAUAUUAAUGAUUUUUUGAUCUAAUGCAGAAGAAUGUAAAAUAUUAUGAAGAGCAAGCAAAUAUUGAGCUAACUGAUCCUUAAACCUUUUUUUUGCCAAAAAGAGUAAAAAGGAAAUGAUUCAGCAUGUGAGCAAGAAAGAUCCAUAUGUUUUCAAAAUUAAUGGAGAAACAUACAAUGUCCUUUCUGAAAACUUAUCCAAAUAUUGCCUACGUAUAAAAUUCUUGCAUCUCUCCAAAUUGUCUACUAGGAUUUCAUAUGUUACAAUUUAUGAUUUUCAUGUAUUUUCCAUUGGUAUUCUUCCAGUUCUUAUUUUUAUUUAUCAUAAAAAGUUACUUGUCGACGAUGGUGUGUAUUUGGACUACCUUUACUAAUAAAUCGUUCGUACAAGAUCAUCAUUUUGUAAUCUCCAUUGAUCGUUUAUAUUAUUCGUAUAAAAAUCUUCAUUGGUCUUUCAUACAACACAACCAGUAUAUUUCAAUUAAGGGUUAGUUCAAUGUAAGGUACAAUAGAAAUUUUUUAUUUUGAUUGAGUUAGCCACUUAGUUUGAUACUAUUUUCAUAUUUACAACCUAUGACACAAUAUUAUCACACACAUACAAAAAUACUAUUAAAAUACUAUUAAAAUUGCUAACUAUACUAUAAAACUUACCUUCUGAUCUAACAGACAGUAUAAUCAUAUAGUUUAAUUUUAGUGUUUUAUGUAUUUUUCGUUAAUGCUUUUUAAAAAAAAAUGAUGCUCACUGUAAAAGGAUAUAUUGACUUUCUAUAUGAAAUUUAAAAUUUUCCGAACCUAUUAAAUUAGUUUACUAAAUAAAUUGAUUUUGUUUUUGUAACCGCCAAUCAUAGUAUGAUUUGAGAAUACAACCGUUAUUCGCUCACACAUAAGUAACUAAUUUGUAACAAUAUAUAUUGAAAUCCCAAAUAUACCGGAUAUACGCAGAUUUGUCAUAUACACUUUCUUAAAGUAUUUUACACCUCUUUUAAAUAUAUCUUCUAAUAAAAGCUUUUACCUGAGAUAAUUGCCCUAUAAAUUAAAUCACAUUAUUUUUUCUUCAUAAUCAUAUCAGUCCUUAAACGAUCAUAAGUAUAAUAUCUUGCUCUAUAUCAUUGUUUCUUUUCAAACGUUUCCAUUGAAUUUUUUACUCAUUUGUGUUUCUUAAUUUCUUCAAUCUAUUGAUAAUAUUUUUUUUUGAAAUAUUUCUCUUGCAGAUGGAUCAGAACAACUUCGAAGGCCAAACAUGUGACAAGACAACGGAUUUAGAUGGAAAAAUACCCGAAAAUUUUAUAGGAAAUUUUUUUUGGAUUUGGCAACGAGAGCUGCAACUUUAUUUAUCCCAUUUGAGGAUAAAAGUUGGAUAAGUACCUUUCUGAGGAUAGACAAGUUAAUCUUGUUAUCUUUUGGUAACACUAGUAUCCUUGUGGAUCCAUGGUGAUUAUAUGUGUAAAUGAGUGAUAUUAGGCCGACUAAUCGACCCCUUUUAUGCAUUAUAUUCACAGGAAAAAAACUGCUAAGGCAUUGUGGUUAUCUUUGGAGAAGAACCAUAAAGCAGAUGUUAUGAGGCGUCAACAUUUGCGAAUGCAAAUUUUUUGCACUUCCAAAUCCUGGACUCUAAACCUAUUGUUCAAAAAAUUGAGCAGUUUCACUCAAUAUGCUGCGAUUUGAGUUCUGAUGGUAUUUCGCUUUGCAAUACUUUUAUUGUAAAUUGUUUGAUCGAUAAACUUCCUGCGAGUUUGGUUAAUUUCAUGAUUUAUUUACAGCAUAUUUGAGGUAGGUUAACAUCUUUGGAAGAUAUACUCAUUCAGAUAAAGUUUGAAGAUCUAAACAAGAACCACAAGGAAAAUCAAUCAUGUUCCAUUCGUGAUGAGAAGUAAAAAGCCAACACGAACACACAGUUCAAUAAAAAUCGGUGCUAGUGAUAAGAAAUCUAAAGGAAUUUGUUACAAAUGUAGAAAACAUUACUAUGUUUAAUACUAUUUAAAUUUAUAUUACGCGGUUCCAGUUUGUUUCUAUUUCUUUAUAUUGCCAAUUAAGAUUUUAUUAUUUAAUAAUAAUUCUCUCAUUUAUUGUUUAUUUUAAAUUAGUGUUUGAUCGAUAAAAUAGAAAGGAAUAAAUAACAAAGAAAUGUUGACCCAAUCAUACAAAAUAUGUAUUUAGACCGACACGAAAUGAUCAUUCACCCUUAAUUUAAAUGGUUUUAAAUAACAUCAAAGAGUACACGAAAUAAUUGUUCGCCCUUAAUUUAAAUGUUUUUAUUUGAUCUUCAUCAUACUAUAUAUAGGGCCGGUGUAGUCAUAUUGACUGUAAACUUUCAUAAACUUCUUUGUUUUAUAUUCUACUCGAGACAUCUUUGUUUUAGGGCAUUCUUCUGUUCCUGAAGUACUAUGUUAUAUUUUUUUUCAUCACUCCAUUUUGGAGUAAAAUAUGAAGUUGGGGUUGGAGAUGUUCUUUGAAAGCUAAUAAGUCUGCUGUUAAGUUGUUAUACUAUAACCUCUGAAAUUUUACAAAUGUUUUCAAUAAUUUUUAAAUUAUACUUGCCAUUUUUAAACCCAUUUAUAUGAAUAAUUGGUGGUUUUAUUCAUGUACCCCUGCAGAUUGGAUUUUUACAUUUUCAUAUUUUAACUUACCUCGUGAUUAAUUAUGUAUUUGUAAAAUUCGAAUCAUGUGGGGUUACCAUAGUAUAGUUAUAAAGUGUUUCAAUAUUUUUAUAACUAGUAGUGAUGAAUAUAUUUUCAAUUUAAACAAUUAUUGUUUCUAUGUUUUUACUGAAAUAGUACGAAAACUGAUAGAAAUAUAUGUAGAUUAUUUUGGUGCAAUUGGUAUGCAUACAUUCAUUUUCUACUCGAUUAUUCUUAAAUUUUUUCCUCUCUUUAAAUUAAUAUAACAAUAUACGUUCAUAAACAAUUGGCUUCAAUAUAUAAACAACUAGAAUUAUUGUCAAGGUUUUGAAAAGGUGAUAUGUGAUUGCCAACUUAAGAAAGGAAUGAAGAUGCUUCUAUCCAAUGAAAAGUUUAGUUUCUUCAAAUAUAUGUUAAUUAAUCAUCUAUAAAUACUAAUAAUUUUCUUUUUAAUUUUUCUAGGGUUACAAAAUUAUUUUCUUACAAAUAAUUAAAUUAAUUUGGCUUGAUGUUAAAUGGAGUAUUUUUGGGGAACUUGGCGCAAGAAUUUUAUAACGCAUGGACCUCAUCUUCUAUAAGAAAAUUAUUUGCAUCUUAACCUAUUGGAAAUUUAAAUUCCUUCAGAAUCAAGCUAUUUAUUAAAGGGUUUCUUUCAAAAAUGACUCAAAAUUUCAAGUCAAACACAAAAAUAACCUAUGAUUUUUUUUGAAACUUUGUUUUGUCCUAUUCACCCUAGAAAUUCUUGUUAUUCACGAAAAUACCAUUACUUUUUUUUUCCGAAAAUAAUGCUUUCACCUUACCAUCACCAUCUUCACCAUAUAGUUACAACUUUGCCAUUGACAUCAAUACUUCAACCACCAUAAACUACCAAAUUGAGAGUGUCAAUGCCCUAAAGUUUCGAUUUUUUCUCAUCCUUUCUCAUUUCCUAUCCACACAAACCACAUAUCAUACACUUUUUCUCAAAAUUCAUCAAAAAAACUGAAGAUUUUGAUUAAAAAUUAUGUAAGGUUCAUAAGUUCACGAUUCUUGGUGAUUAACGAGUAGGUAGCUGUUCUGGUGAAGUUCUGGGUAAUUGGAGAAACCACGCAAGUCAUCUCACGUGUUCAAGGUAUACAAGCGCGAACCACAUUUUAUUUUUCAGAUAUGUUCGACGAAGAAGAAGUCUUCUUCAUCGAGAAGACUUAUAAAGAAAUCUUCUGGUCAAUGCAUAGGUUAGUUUUGCAAUUGACCUUUUGUGUAUGUUUUAAUAGAAGACUUCCCUAGAAAUCUUCUAACUUUCCUUUGUAAACAAAAAAAUUCGAAAUUCCAAGAGAAGUUACUUUUAAAUUUCGGAUAAACAUGUUACUUUUAAAUUUGACCAAAGUUGGUUAGAAAUUUGACUUUUGUAGAAGACUUCCUUAGAAGUCUUCCUGGAGAAAACUUCUACAGAAGUCUUCUGAAAGUCUUCCCUAAGUCUUCUCAAUGCUGGAAAAUGUCUGCGUGGAUUACUUUUGCAAUUGAAAAAUAAUAGUAAAACAUUAAAUAUCAAUGAGAAGACUUCUAAAGAAGUCUUUUCGAGUUUAAUUAUGGGUUUUGGUCAAACCUUUGCCCGCGAGAGAAGACUUCUAGAGAAGUCAUCUGACGGAAGACUUCUGAAGAGGUCUUCUCUCGAAAAGUCAAAUAUAGUCAAUUGCAAAAGUAACCCAGCAAACUUCUUGCGACAUUGAGAAGACUUCCGGAAGACUUAGAGAAGACUUCUUCUGAAGUAUUCUCCAUGUAGACUUCCUUAGAAGUCUUCUACAAAACCUCAAAAUUAUGACCAACUUCGGUCAAAUUCAAAAGUAACCUGUUUAUCCAAAAAGACUUCUAAGAUAUAUUCUCUGGGAAGUUCGAAAAAUUUCAAUUUCAAACGUAAGCCAAUACAAAGGAAGACUUCCGAAGAUAUCUUCUGUUGAGUAGACUUCUUAAGAAGUCUUCCUUUGUAAAUUUGCAAUUGCAAAAAUGACCCAAACAGAAGACUUCUUUUGAAGUCUACACAGAGUAGACUUCUUUUAAAGUCUUCCGUGGAUGACCUCCAAAGAAGUCUUCUACGUAAAUAUUUAUUAAACUUCAAAUUUAUCCAAAAUUAAAAUGAAUUUUAAUAUUUUCUUGCUAAUUCAUGUUUAUUAGUCAAUAUUGGGACUAUUGAGUCGAAUUCAUAGCUUAGUUGGUGAUAAUUAUGAAGUUACAAACAUUGAUGUUUAAUAAUGUUUCUAGCUAAACGAAGAAGUCUUCGUCAUAAGUGUUAACUUUCAAAAGUGUUAAGUAACUUAAAGAAUAUCAAGUCAUGUGGUUUAAUGUGUCAUUUUAGAUCACAAGAUAUAAUUUUUAAAUUACCUGAAUUUUUUUUUAAAAAAGAUCAACUUUCACUUAAAAUUCAAGUUUGAUCUUUUGUGAAUUUGACUAAGUUUUUUUUAAGUCUUCUCUAUUAGUUUUAGUAAAUUUGACUAAGAUUUUGUGUUGUUGUGUUUUGUUAUGAUUGGGUAGAAUGGUUCAAAAAAAAAUUGUUGUAUGUUGUAUCAAUAACUUCAAUAAUGUCAAGUAUUUUUGGCAAAACAUGAACAUAUUUAGCAAAUUCUUUUGAUUAACAUUUCUUUAAGUUUACAAAAGAAUUCACAACUAAAUAAUGCACAUACAAAUCAUAAAACUGACCUUAAACAAAACUAUUAUACGUGGAACUAGAUAUCAUUUCUCAAGAAGUCUUCCGAGAGUUUCUGAGUCUGCCAAGAGUCUUCUGAGAGACUUCCAAGAGUCUUCUGAUAAAUCUUACAAAGUCUAACUCAUAUCUGAAAAAUCUGCAUAUUCAAACUUUGGAAGACUUCGUGGGACGUCUUCUAGCAUAAAAUGCAUUAGAAGACUUCCCAAGAAUUCUUUCGAGAGUCUUCCAAGAGUCCUCUGAGUAGUCUUUCAAAGUCUGAUUUAGAUCUGAAAAUUUUAUAUAUUCAAAAGCAUUCAAAUAGCUUCAAAACAGAGAAAACUUCAAAAUCACUUUUUAUGCUUAAUAAUAAACAAAAAAUUGUCACAUUAGGUUGAAUUUAGAACUUUUUAGAAUCCAAAAUCUGUACAACUUUGGGCAGAAGACUUCGUGGGAAGUCUUCUACCAUAAAAUGCAUUAGAAGACUUGUCUAGAAGUCUUCCGAGAGUCUUCUGAGAAGUCUUUCAAAGUCAGUCUCAGAUCUGGAAAACCUGUAAAUUCAAAAACAUUCAAAUGGCUUCAAAACAAAUAAAAACUUCAAAAAUAUAAUUUUAUGCUUAAAUAAUAAGCAAAACAGUCACAAUAGGUUGAAUUUGCGAAGGUUGAAGAGUUCAUGCGAUCGCUACUUAACAGUGACCCUUAUGUUUGGAGACACUAGGCUAUGAAGCCUUUGUAAAACUUGGUGUUCUCUAUGUUUUUUUUUGUUGUGUUUUAUUUGAAUAUAUUUUUUAUGCUUACAAAAACUAUAGUGAAAUUUAACUCAUUAUCUUUGUUAAGCCGGAUUUCAAAUUUUAUGUGAUUGCAUUCAUUUACUUUUUGGUUCAAGUUAUGUAAUCAUAUAAUAUGUUAUGAAUAAUAGUCAAUUGCUCAAACUUGUACUAUAGUGUUGAAUUUAGUGAGAUAGAAAGAUACAUAGAGAUUGAGAGAGAAUUACGUUAUACUUAUACUCUAAUAAUAAUACCUAUACAUGCAAUAUAUAAAUCAUAUUAAUACCCGAACAUGCGUUUGGGCGGUCCGCCUAGUGUUUUACAAUUUUUGCCAAAAAUAAAUGUUUAUAAAGAAAAAUUGUUUAUAUAACAAUCAGUUGAUGUCAUGUCAUAUUUUUAUAAUUCUUGUCAUAAUGGUGUAUAUAACUUACUUCAGAAGAUAUUAUAUAUAUAUAUAUAUAUAUAUAUAAUUUAACAUACAUUGCUAUAAAAUUUAUAUCUAUUGUAAAUAAAUAAAUAAUAGAAAAUCUAUUAAAACGGUCUUAGUAGAAAUAUGUGUAUUCUAUAUUGAAGAUUAUAUAUCCGUAAGAAAUUCUUUUUUCCUCUCCAAAUUCAACCAUUCGACUUACUUAGGGCAGCCGCAGUGGUAGUCUUCCAAAGAGGCUCUUAUAACCAAAAUAAUAAAAACAUUAGUAAAGGUGGGGAGAAAGUGGGAAAUUUAAGAACGCUUUUCAGAGCGAUUUUUAAAAGAGUAAUUUAUAUUGCAUGACAGUUUUGAGUUUCUUUUUAACAGGAUAAUGAGUUAACACUACCAAGACAGUUUUUGUGUGAAAAGUCUUAACUUGCUCCUAAAAAAGGUAACCUAUGAUAAAAAAAAAUAGUUAGGGCGUUUUUUGUUUAGUUAGAUUUCUGAAAUUUAAAACUGGGUGGUGGACCCCCGAUGACAAACUAAAGAAGAUUAAACUCAUUUUAAAAUAUCGGACGUGUAAAAAAAAUUAGUUUUACUUUUGGGAACUUUAACUGAAGAGGAAAAAAGAAACCAAAAAGGCGAGGAUGGAGACGAGAGCGACGAGAGCGAAAUCAAAAAGUUUACGGUGUUGUUUUACUUAGCAGGAUGUCGAGCAGAUGGAGCUGGCAUGGAAAGGAGAAACCAGACGAAACGGCAGAGGUUGAGGAUGUAAAAAAGGGAUUCCGGAGCGGUUAUUCGCAACUGACCGGUACCCAAGUGAAAGGGUGAACAUGUAUUCUACCGUCGAUCAUCUCUUGGCGGCGAGAGAUGCGCUGAACAACAUACCGGAGAUGGUGAAGCUGAUUGGUUCAUGAUUUGGAAAUUUCUUCCAAAUUCCUGUUUCGGAUUGAAUGUGGCGGACGAGCAAAAGGCAGAACACGAUUCUGGGGUAAGCUUACUUUUCUUGUGCGGCUGUAUAGAUAUACAAAAAUUGUACCGUAAAUGUGUACGUAACAAAAAAGUUGUGUACAUGCAUACUCCGAAACUGGUGUAUGCAUGUGUGCAAGUACUUGUAUGUUAUACUGUUGUUUUGGUUUUCUUGAAGUUGCUUGUCAAACCAAAGAUGGAGAUUUGUGGAAGCCACGAAGAAAGGUGGAGUGUUUGGAUUAAUAUAAUGAUAUGCAUAAAUGUGUUAAGUGUAAAAUAAAAUUAUUCACAAAAAAUGAAAAUUACUUAUAGAUAUGAUACUAAUUAAUAUUAUGUUUAUAUUCAAAUACAAAUUAUAAUAACUUUUAAAAUUUCAAAAAAAAAAAAACUUAUUUUGAACACCUUUUUUGAUGGGGCAAUACAAAUUUCAAAUAAUUUCAAAUAAAAACUAAACAUGUUUUUUUUUUUGUAUUACCCCCUCCCCAGAAAAAAACUAAACAUGUUUUGCAAGUGAAUAGGAAAGAGAUCUCCUUAGGGACGAGAAUCUAGCCAGCCUUGAGCAUUUGCAAGUGUAUGCGCUCUUAGACAAGCUUAAUACACUACAUGGAAGCAUACGUUUGAUUUCCGACCAAUGGAUCUAUCCAAAUUGUCCAUCAACCACGUUUACGACCCAUUUCUCCACCUCAACCAACAUCAACGGAACAUUUUGAACCGAGCUCAAUGGUUGCAAACUUACAUAUUAUGCCUUUGGAGUUGGUUAUAAACUUUAGUCAUUUGAAUGUUGGGCUUCUGAUAAAUGGGUUUAACCCAUGUUUCUAAAUAUUUGUGCACACUAUAUUUCGGGCCGUAGAGAUGUCUCUCCCGUUGGCAUUCAGCUAGGGUUUCUAAACUAUACCCUAGGGAAGCCACCUAUAUAUAAUACACACAUACACACGAUUGCAUAUUCAUCCGCAGAGUUUAGGUUAAGGGCUUUGGUUGCUGGGGAAUUAUAAUAGCACGUUAUAUCUGUUCUUCUUUGUCUAUCGUUUGGAAAAGAUUGAUGACGCUAUCUACACUUUUCCAAAUGUAGACAAAGCAAAACCGUGAUGACGUCGUAGAGAUCUUGUUGAUGGUACGAGCUUGUGUUCGUCCAUCAAUUAUCUAUUUCUUGUUUUCCCAAUGUUAACAUCUGACUGCUGAUCUUGUUUUUGACUUUAGUUGAACCGUAUAUUCUCUUGUCGUCUCUCUUCUUUUUCUUUUUGCAGAUCAGGAUUUUCUGACCACGAUUUCUACUGAGAGAAGCAAAAGUACAACUAUGAAGUACUGUUCAGUCCGGCUCGAACAUGACCGACCAACCGAUCUUAUCUAUAUUCUAUUAUUACAGCAAAUAAUUCUCAUAAUACUUGUAUCUUUUGAAGACCAACUAAUUGUUCUCUUUUUUUGAACUAUAGUGAAGAAUUAUUCGAGAGUAAUCAACCGAAUAAGUUAAAAGAAAAGUUCGAACAAAAGCUCUGUUG
Long non-coding RNA from Brassica rapa (field mustard), 13621 nucleotides. RefSeq lists it as uncharacterized. NCBI's taxonomy places the organism in Eukaryota, Viridiplantae, Streptophyta, Magnoliopsida, Brassicales, Brassicaceae. The record is from RefSeq and is a predicted model, not a curated record.